UACGGAGGAUGCGAGCGUUAUCCGGAUUUAUUGGGUUUAAAGGGUGCGUAGGCGAAGUGCCAAGUCAGCGGUAAAAAUUCGGGGCUCAACCCCGUCGUGCCGUUGAAACUGGCGCCCUUGAGUGGGCGAGAAGUAUGCGGAAUGCGUGGUGUAGCGGUGAAAUGCAUAGAUAUCACGCAGAACCCCGAUUGCGAAGGCAGCAUACCGGCGCCCGACUGACGCUGAAGCACGAAAGCGUGGGUAUCGAACAGG
Molecule: ribosomal RNA, 252 nt
Filed under: uncultured bacterium
Lineage: Bacteria
Description: partial 16S ribosomal RNA
Rfam family: Bacterial small subunit ribosomal RNA
Source: RNAcentral